ACAGAGAGAAGAGGUAGAAAGGCAUGUUAAAAUGCUGGGUUUUUUUUGUAGCACUUCUCUUUCUACACUUUUUUAAAUGUCAUUUGGCACAAUUUUUUAACUGGUUACUCUGGAUCCUUAUCUAUUUCAGGUACACCCUUCCAUGAGCUGGAUAUAGCCAAAGGAUCCUGGGAUGGGAGCUCAGAACAGAAGAGACAGCAUGCACCCAGAAGUCUCUUGGAAGUCCUUGUCUCAGAGAAAGGAGAUGGUUUUAUUGAGGCAGAUCCCCCCAGGAGCUUGAAGUGCUACUGGAAGCAAGCAGAGGCUGUCCUGUGGAGACAAGGAAUUUGAAUUGUACAGUGUCGGAGAAGGCAUCAACGACACAAACUCCCUUGUUUGAGCAGCAGAAAAACUCAACAUAUGGAAAAGAACUUAAGCUG
This is a non-coding RNA of Coturnix japonica (Japanese quail), 419 nucleotides long. The record is from RefSeq and is a predicted model, not a curated record. NCBI's taxonomy places the organism in Eukaryota, Metazoa, Chordata, Aves, Galliformes, Phasianidae.